RNA transcript from Bacillus rossius redtenbacheri, 13766 nucleotides. It is a transcript of the gene named regulating synaptic membrane exocytosis protein 2, with no coding region annotated. NCBI's taxonomy places the organism in Eukaryota, Metazoa, Arthropoda, Insecta, Phasmatodea, Bacillidae. The transcript is spliced from 24 exons. The record is from RefSeq and is a predicted model, not a curated record.
AGGAGAGGCGCAUCAUCGAGUCGGUGAUGAUGAGGCAGAAGCAGGAGGAGGAGAGAGAGAACGAGAUCAUGAGGCGGAAGCAGGACGAGGUGCAGAUCCUGGAGGACACCAUCAGGCAGCGCAGCGAGCAGCAGAAGAAGGCGGGCGUGGAGCUGGACGCCACCUGCCACAUCUGCCUCAAGACCAAGUUCGCCGACGGCGUGGGCCACAUCUGCAACUACUGCCACAUCCGGUGCUGCGCGCGCUGCGGCGGCAAGGUCACGCUGCGCUCCAACAAGGUGAUCUGGGUGUGCAUCCUGUGCCGCAAGAAGCAGGAGCUGCUCAGCAAGACGGGCCAGUGGAUCAACAAGGGCAUGUCCCCGGGCGGAGACGCCAUCAUGCGCCGCAUCCAGGCCGACCUGCACCAGCAGCCCGAGGACCUGGUGGGCGCGGCGCCGUCUCCGCUGCCGCUGCAGCAGCAGGCCUCGUCGGCGGCGCCCUGCGACAAGAGGCCCAAGCUGGAGCGCGCGCACUCUGCCGCCGAGAAGGAGAACCAGCCCUUGCAGCGCUCGGGCAGCGCGCUGCGGCGCCAGUACUCGCAGCAGGAGCCCGGUCCGCCCGACGACCCGCGCUACUACCGCCGCGAGAUCGAGGGCCUCAUGCGCUCGCAGCAGCAGCAGCUGCAGUACCGCGACCUGCCGGCCUCCGAGGCGGGGGCCAGCGGCAAGAAGCACAAGCGGGCGGGCUCGGCCAAGAAGCACGCGCCUCCGCCCGCCCCGCAGCAGCAGCAGCAGCAGCUGGUACCCGCCAGGCACCAGCACCAGCAGCAGUCCUUCUCCAGCUCCGACGACGAGCUGCGGUCCACGCCCGAGUGCACCAGCUGCGAGGAGCCCGACAGCGAGAAGGGAGGAAGGCUGGAGGGCGGCUCGGGGCGCGCGCACCGGCCCUACCACCACAACAGCCACAACCACAGCCACUCUAGACACGACGCGCCGCCGCGCAAGGAGGCGGAGCGCUUCCCGCGCGACCUCGGCGACUACCGGGACCGCUACCUCGCGUUCCGGGACCGCGUGGCGCGGCAGGGCGCGCGGGGCGGGGCGGGCGACGAGGAGGAAGAGGAGGAGGAGGAGGAGGACGGCGACAGCCGGCGGCUGACGGAGCGCAGAAAGAAGACGGUGCGCUUCGACCAGCGCGACUGGGCGCAGCUGGCCGGCGGGGCGCGCCAGGGCUCGCAGGACUCGCAGACCAAGGACUCCGGCAUCGACACCAGCAGCACCUUCACGUCCAGCGAGGACUCGAACCGCGGCGACGGCCCCAAGGAGUUGCAUGACACGGGCCAAACUCCAUGCAAGCACCCGCUGUCGUGGCAACCGAGCGCGGACGGAACGCGCCUCAUCGGCCACAUGAUCCUGAAGAAGACGGCGCGCGAGGGCGCUGGUCCGGCCUCUUCGGCGGCCAUCCUGGGCCUCAAGGUGGUGGGGGGCAAGCUGCUGGAGAGCGGCGGCCGCGGCGCCACCAUCGAGAAGGUCAAGAAGGGCAGCACGGCCGACGUGGAGGGCCAGCUCAAGCCAGGCGACGAGGUGAUCGAGUGGAACGGCCGCUCGCUGCAAGGCAAGAGCUUCCAGGAGGUGUACGACAUCAUCGCCGAGUCCAAGCAGGAGCCGCAGGUGGAGCUGAUCGUGUCGCGGUCCCUGGCCGGCCGCAGACCGGCGCAGACUCCGUGGCGGCACAGCCACACGUCACCCACGCCUGUGCACAAAGACGUAUACGACGGCCGGCGGGACAAGCCCAGCGUGCUGGUGACGUCCCCCGGGUCCCCCGACCUCCGCGUGCCCUCCAGGUCGGGCCGGCCGCCCCGCCUCGGGGUCUCCCCCACCAACAGCAACGUCGGCGGCAGGAUACAGGUGAAGCUGUGGUUCGACUCCGGCGCGCUGCAGCUGGUGGUGACGGUGGUCUGCGCCGCGGGACUGACCCCCCGCGCCAACGGCAGCCCCCGCAACCCGUACGCCAAGCUCUUCCUGCUGCCGGACCGGAGUGAGAAAUCGAAGAGGAGGACGAAGACCCUGGCGAACACCAACGACCCCAAGUGGAACCAGAUGUUCGUGUACUCGUCGGUGCGGCGCGCGGACCUCAAGCUGCGGGUCCUCGAAGUGACUGUCUGGGACUACGUCCGCUACGGGGCCAACGACUUCCUCGGCGAGGUCCUGAUCGAGCUCAGCAUGGCCCCGCUCGACGAGGAGCCGGAGUGGUACUACCUCUCGGCGCACGAGGAGGCCGCGCCCCACCACGCGGGGAGGAGGGACGCGGACCCCGCGGAGAUGGACCUGGCGCUCACGCCCACGGACCACCUGUCGCCGCCCAGCACCACGUCGCGGCUGUCCGACUCGGACACCUCCGAGUGCGACCUGGAGGACGGCCCGGGCGGGGUGGGCGCGCGGGACCGCCGCGUGGCUGACGGCGCGUCCAUCAGCAGCGUCGGCAGCUCCUCCAGCCCACCGCCCGAGGUCGAGGUGCCGGACCACCGGCGGUCGCGGCGGGACAUGUCCCCGCAGGGCCGCAAGCGGGCCGCCGUCCUCAUGGGGCGGGAGAAGGCGGCCAGCUACCAGCCCCAGCGCAAGAACGGCGGGCAGGGGAUGAUGUCGCAGCGGUCCCACUCGGCGGCGCCCACCGACUCUCCCAGCAUGCACUCGCGCAGCCGGUCCAAGAGCCCGCGCCGGAUGAGCGAUCACCGCAGCCUCUCGCCACCGGAGGCCAGGGGCCACCACAUGCCGUCGCACGCGUACGUGCCGAGGUUCUCGUCGCGCUCGGCCGCGGCGACGCCCACCGGCUCGCCGAAGAAGCGCCAGCUGCCGCAGAUCCCCCACACCCUGCAGAAAGCCCUCAAAGAGCGCAUGACGCAGGACAUGGAGGAACGAGCGCGCAUGAUGAAGACCAGGAUGAAGCUGAUGCAGGACUACCGCACGUCGGGAAUGGGCGGCCGCUGGGACCGGCACUACACCGGCCUGAGCGAUGGCGACCUGCCCUCGCGGAGCGCCGCCGCGGGGCCCGGGGAGCGCCGAGCCCGCGCCCGCCGCUCGCUCUCCCCCGACAAGGACGCGACGGGCGACUUCGGCGACAGCGACAUCGAGAGCGUGGUCAGCGUGACGAGCAGUGCCUUCUCCACCCAGUCGGAGCGGCCGCGCGGCUCCCGGGGUCUCAGCAGCGACUACGGGAACGGCGGGGGCGGCCAGCGCAUGGCGGGGCCGCACGGGGGCGGCCACAUGGGCGGCCCGGGCGGCAGCAAGAGAGGGACGUUCACCAGGAGCCUGUCCAACGCAGACGUCCCGCCCGACGAGAAGGCUGCAGACGGCAGCCUGAGCGACACCGCGGUCAGCCACGCCCACGGCAUGGAGGGCCCCCGGCGCAAGAUGGCGGGCGGCGGGGGCGGGGGCUCCAAGUCGGGCCAGUUCGCGGGCCUCGGCAAGAAGAGCAACUCCACGUCGCAGCUGUCCGCCACAGGUCGCAAACGUAGGUUAGGUUUUGGGCGUAAAGGCAAAACUUCGUUUACCGUCCAUAGAAGCGAAGAGGUUUUGCCGGACGACGUGCGGCACCUGGGCAAACAGGGCUCGAGUGUCUCCAGCGACGGGGAGGGCUCGCAAGAUGGAGACAGGUGGUCGCCCUCGCUGCGGCUGGCGCAGGACGGCGGGCAGCUGUCCGAGUUCAUCGACGGCCUGGGGCCCGGGCAGCUGGUGGGACGCCAGGUGCUGGGGGCCCCGUCGCUGGGGGACAUCCAGCUGAGCAUGUGCUACCAGAAGGGGUACCUGGAGGUGGAGGUGAUCCGGGCCCGCGGCCUGCAGUCGCGUCCGGGCUCCAAGACGCUGCCAGCACCGUACGUGAAGGUGUACCUGGUGAGCGGGAAGAAGUGCAUCGCGAAAGCGAAAACAUCGACUGCGAGGAGGACGCUGGACCCGCUGUACCAGCAGCAGCUGGCGUUCCGGGAGCCGUUCCAAGGCUGCAUCCUGCAGGUGACCGUCUGGGGCGACUACGGCCGCAUCGAAGGCAAGAAAGUGUUCAUGGGGGUAGCCCAGAUCAUGCUCGAUGACCUCAACCUGUCCAACAUUGUCAUUGGCUGGUACAAGCUGUUCGGGACGACCUCAUUGGUUAGUGGGCCCUCGUACGGCCUGUCUCGGCGCAGUUCUCUGGCUAGUCUAGACUCCCUCACCAGCCACUAGCCGGUGCCUAGUGCUGACCCGACACCUUAUCUUCUUCUUCUUCCUCUGCAUCUUGACCCUCCACCUUCGCACACGCCUUGGCGCCUCCGCGACGCCGCCCACAGCGUUCCACUGACAGUGCGUCUGGACAUGAGAACGUGAGAGCGAGGAGGGCGGCGGCUCGCUGUCGUGAUGGCGGCGGCUCGCUGUCGUGGUGGCCGCGGCUGGCUGUCGUGAUGGCGACGGACGCAGCGGGGAAGCCCUCCUCCCUCGCCGAGAGCCGUCGGGGCGGCCCUGUCCUUUCGCCGCUGGUCCGCGCGGCACGGACUCCGACCAAUGGCGCAAAGGGAACGAGCGCUCGUGGCUCCAAAUUGUGGGGAAUAACUCGGCAGAGCUGCCCGGUCGAUUGUUCACCGACGGGGAAAAAGUGCUGCAGACAGGUCGUUUGAGUGAUUGAAAAAGCAAAAGACGUUGUACAUAAUAUUUAGAGAGAAUUUUUUUUUUCUUGCAUCAAAAAAAAAAAAAGAAGUUAAAAAAAAAGACAAAUGUAAUUAUUUAUGAAGAUAUAUAAAUAUAUAUACAGUAACGUAAAUGAACAGUAAAUUCACAAGCCUUCCACAAGUUUUGAGUGAAUAUCAUUAUAUAUAGAUAUAUAUGAAUACUUACUCAAUGAAACAAACCUUUACUAUAAAAUACUGACUUAAGUAUCAAUCAACCGCUGUGAACGAGUGCUUGUGGGAGAGAGUGGAAUGUACAUGACCGUGUGAAAGUACUUGCCUUUCUUAAGUUCCAUAAGUUUCUGUCCAGUUUUGUUUCCCGAAGUGAAUGAUAAAAUAUUACUGAACAUCUAAGAGGAUGCCAUAACCAUAAGUGAUGCAGGAUUAAUUCCUUAAAACGAGAACAUUUCUUUUUUGCAUUGGGUGAUUGGUUUCUCACGCCAGUUUUGAGUUCUGCUCACUGUUCAUUUCUCUCCUCUCUCUUAUUCCUCCUGAUCCAGAUGUGUGCGCAAAUAGAGAGAAUGUUUGCUUCGCAUCGAAACUCUUGCAACCUCCUGUAUCCUCUAAAUAUAUUCCGUAGUUGGUAGUACAGACAUAAUACAGACACAAGACAACAAAUACCAUACUAACGUUUUUAUUAUGAAUGUCUAAACGUAUAUAAAAUCCAACUAUCCAAUGUUGUUAGUGUAAACCAUUAAAAAAAAAAAAAACUAAUUUUUUUAAGAAAGGAGGGAAAAAAUAUACGAUUUUGUACUUUAACUUGUUUCCUUGUCUUGUUUUGAAGAAACAGAAAAUAAAAGUAGCAGAGAAUUUCUUUCACGUAUUUUUGAACUUAACUUCGACUAUUUAAGAAGCAUCCUUUCCCUCGUAUGUCUGAGUGUGUGAGGGUGUUCUAGAGUAGCCUGUGGAAUCACCACAGAAACUUAUCUCCUCUACCUUUUCCGAUUCAAGCUGGCAGCAUCUUUUUGAGUCGCGUUGUCGGCCGUGUGGCUCUCAGACUGGUCUGCUGACAAAACCUGGGAGGGGAUUUGGUUAGGAAUAGGUAAGAGCUGGCUAUGCAUGCUCAUCAGUUUGUUAAGGCUUUCUGCACCAUUUAAUAGCUAUUAAAAUUAUGGUAUGUAGUACUUCGUCCCAUUUCAAAAUAUAUUUUUAAAUUACUUACUUCAAGUUUUUAAGCAGGAUUUAUCAUCAUUGAAAAUUAUUGAUUCUAAUUUAAACUACAACUCCCUGAAAGUAAAAUGUUCCAGCUUAAUUCUGUAUGCAACAUACUGUGUGAAGUAGUUUAUUCACAGUUUAAUGACUCCUGCUGCAUAGUGACUGCUGCUCAUUUUUGUAUCUUGAAAUAAUUUGCACUAAUUAACAUACCUACAAACCAUAGAAACAUCAUAACACAUGAUUGAACCAUUUAGACAUACCAAAUUCGAGUGCGGCUCACAAAUAUAAGUUUAGAGGUGUACAAAAUUAACUAUAUUUAUGUGAAUUUUCUUGCUCUGUUUAUCUAUAAAAUCAUUUGAAAAAACUAAAACAUAUUUUAACUAUGUCAGGUGCAAUUAUCCAGUGUUUUUUUCUUCUGGGCUAAUUUGAAAGAGGUGUUUGAAAUAUCUUAAUAACUGUUUCAGUAACUAAUGUGAGGGUCUACACAGAGUUCUUUGUUGUAGAUAAGCAACACAAGCUAAACUCUGAACGUUAGCAGAUGAAUUUUAUAUAGCUCAACUUUCCAAAUUUACAUGCUAACAUGAGUUUUGUCCUCUGAACCAGACAACACUGUUGUCACAUGCUAAGAAGGUAAUUUUUCUAUUUCUUAAAGGAAAAAAAAAUAUUAUUCAUUAAGACAGCUGAGCAUUUUGUAGCCAAAGUGAGAUGGGCCCAGACAAAUUCAGUAUAGCAGCCCUCACUAUGCAGCCGUAGUUUUGAGGAUAUUAUACGUUGCAAAUAUAAUUUUUCUCUUCAAAACCGAUACUUUUUAACGAGUUCUUAGUAAUCCAUAAUAUUACAUGCAUGGUCUAUCAAUUACAAAUAGGUAUUGCAAAUAAACACACAUGAAAAUAAGUGCAUAGUUUUGAAAACUCCUACUGAACGAGUUGGAUGGCAAGGCAGGGUGUUUAAUCGAACCAGCAUUAAGGCCCAUUUAUAAAAGUCCACAAAUGCUGGGCUUUUGGCUCGGACAAUCCCUCAAAACUCUUGUUCGCGUCAUUCGGGUUGGUGUUGAGUUGGAACAUGGUCAAAUUAAAGCUCUGAUUCAUAUUCGUAGGAAUCACUUGCACUUCAUGUACAUAUUUGAGCCUGUGUCUGUUGCAACGUUGCUAAAACUACUCGCAAAGGACUUUGGAAAGCUAAACCACUUAGGGUUUUGAAGUUGCUGAUUUGGCGAGGGCAUAUUUAAACAGUCCCCUUAAUGAAGCUCUGCUGCAUGUUACAGUAUGUUAAUUAUGGCAUAUCUUGCAAAAAUGUUCACCUGCAUGCUUGAUUCCAGCGAAUUCUGGAAAAAACAUUUGAGAGGAAAGCAAAUGUAGCAUUUACUGUGGGCAAUGGCUUAGAAACAUUCGAUGACAAAGUCACAUUCUUUGACAGGUCACACAUGGUUGGGUAACCACUUCAUCUCCUCAUUUAUAAUUGGCUCAGGGUCGUGAAAAGUGUGUCGAGAGCACUGUAGCAUCUACACCGAUGUAUAUGGGCUUCAAGUCUACUUUGCUACCCAAUGAAUCUGCAAAAUAAUUGUGACUUUAGUUCAAAUGCAAGGUCAGCAUUACUCUAAAAUUUCACACGUUAGAGACAGGACUAAAAUUUAACUAUGCACUCAACAGCAUUAGCUUUCGAGGCAUUAAGAUUUCCACAUGCAGCUGCAGGAUAUUAAGUUGCCAUUUGUAAACUUUUUUUUCGACAGCCAUGGUUGUAAUGUUCCUCAGCAUUUGAACUGAACUUGAGAAAUUACUGGGAAAAUAAAUAAAAACAUAUGAUUGAAUAUCCUGAAAGUACAUAUCUAUGUUGAGUGUUUGUCUCUCGUAAUGACAUAUUAUAUUUUAGUAUUUGUUACUUUUCCCCAUGCCUUGUAUAUAUGUGUAUAUUGAGAAGUUUGUACAUAUUUAAUUCCCUGGAGUAUAUAUUUUAAUGAGUCAGUAGUUUAUGUUUGUGUAAUAGCAUCUAAUCAACUCAGCUGUUUUUUACCUUACAGGGAACAACCUUAAUAUUGCUAAAAUUCUGCAAGAUGGUGAAUCUUUUCCAAUAAAAUCACAGUGCAAAAUUUUAAAAAAGAGCUUAUGCUAUAACAAUAUAAAUUUUCUCCACUCUGUUUUCUCAAACCUUUAAUUUUAAGAAACAACUAUCAACAACUUUCCAGAAAGUGCUAAAUUUUGUUGUGAAAGGGAAAAAUUAUAGGUACUUCCAAUAUGUUUUGGCUGUUACUGAAUAUACCAACUUUCAGUUCUAAGGAAGAAAUUUCUCCACUCGUAAUGACUAAACAUUAGGGACACCUGUAUUUCACGAUUUCAUUUCAUGUCAAGGUAUUUCACUAGCUUUUUCUAAGUCAUGGCAAAUUGUGAGGGUGCAGCAGUACGGUGACCACAUUCUCAUUGGCCCCGUCAAGAGCGGGACGACACCUCUCACCGACCUUAGCCAAUAACCACAGAAGAAAAGCUACAGUAUUUUGUGAAAUACCUUGUCAUGAAAUGUAUUCGCGAAAUACAGGUGUCCCUACUAAACAUUGAUAAAAAGAACUUCAGUUGGACGACUUUAUGCAAUUAUGCAUAUAUAGUGAAGUCAGAUCCAGAUCCAUAUCUAACCCUACUCUAUUCGAAAAUCUGUCAAAAUGUUGAAAUAUUUAUAGCUUACUAUAAAACUGUCCACAUUUUCCACAUUAACUAACUUUUUGAAACAGCAUACUGGUCUUUAUUGACUGAGCUUUGUCCACACAUUGUAAAAAUCAAAACAUGUUUUGUGUUCAUGUCAAAACAUUUAUGCUAAUGAAACAAAAAAAAAUAUACGAGCUAGUAUAAGUAUUAACUUAGAUUAUUUUUAAAAUGUCGCUAGUCUGUUUACUUCUCACUAUAAAAACAUUAAAAUACAAGGUUCAUGUGCCUCCUUAAUAGCCUUAAAAAAGUCCUUAAUUUGUCUUUAAUUGAAUAAGGGCUCUUAAAAGUACUUACAUUUCAUGAACAGUCCUUAAAAAAUCCUCAAUAAAGACUGAUAGCAUGCAAGUAAUGGAUGAAUGCCGGAAUUUGAAUGUUUUUUUGUUUCCAACUUGGCAGAAAACAAUGCUUUGCGCAAGUGUAGUACAAUUGAUGAAUUUCAGGCCCUGUGAUGAGGUUUCAUGUAUAAAAACAUUUUCAAUUCAUUUUUUAUAUUUUUGUAUCUCACCUUUGAAUUGAAAAUGUGUGUUUUACUAUCUUACUUUGAACUUAUAAAAAGUAAAUGAGAAUGUAAUAAAAUUGAACGUUUGGCUUCGAAUUUUGGCUUGAUACUAUGCUUGGGUUAAAUAUGUAUUCCAGAGAUACCAUCAGUAAGAACUGAACUAAGGAAAUUAUUUUUUGUGUAUCAAAUAGUUUUCUAUCUCUUGAUAGUGAUUAGGACAACAAAGUAAAGGGGUACUUAAAAAGUCCUUAAUUUUUUAUUGUACGAGAGGGUGUGAACCAUGAAUAGAAUAUUAUAUGCAUGUCAGGCAGGCAAACUAUGUCACAGACAACUGUGUGGGGAUGUAUGUGACUUUCUCAUGCAACUUGUGACUAACACAGAAAGAGUAACCCCAACCUUUAUAGUUUAUGGCUAUUUCUUUACAUCCGCAUCUAAGCAACUAGCACCAGGAAAUGAACUUCUAUGACUUAGUCAGCUACAGUUUAUUUAGAGAUCUUAGAGAGGCUUUUGUACCAUAUAAUUUAUAGUCUUGCAAUACAAGUGAUAACAAGUUAUUAACAUUUCCAAAGUUAAUUUUCAAAACAUUGCAUUAUUUAUUGCUUUGAAACUAAGCUUUUAUAACUAUGCCAUGUGCAAAAAAUUUUUUUUAUUCUGUAUUUACUUUCAUUAAAUUUUUGUGCUGUUCCCUUAUCAUCAUCAUAAAAAUUUUUUAAUGAUGAUGUUGUCGUCCUGCCGAUGUUGAUGCGUGGUUGGGUGGUGUCUGAGGGCGCCAACUAACCUUUAACAGGGGUGGUUGCUGUGGGCUAGUUCACAGCACGAGACUCCGUCUCUCGGUGGUCGUGACGUCGCCACGUGGCAGGCAGGGGUGGUUGGACCACACACACGACUAACUUGUCACGUUCUCGGUACGCACACGAACACCGAUCGCCGAAUUCCGCGAGUCGCACAAGACUGCUCGCUCCGAGGGGUGAAGGCCAACUGGCGCGUACUGGCAGGUCCCGUUAGGGCUCGAGUCGAUCUCGCUCUCCGUGACAAUCGACCUACACCCGUUCGAGACACUACCACCGACCACACACGCCGACCGGUGAGGCACCAAGGUGGCAUAACGACCUGUGCGAGCCACGGGAGCACCUGGGACGACGUCAACGUGAAAGAAAACUGUAACAAUCCUUGAAAGUCUAACCCAUUUGAGUCAUCCAACUUUAUUUCAUGGCCGUCUAUUCCGUUACCAAACGAUAGAGUGUUAACAAAAGAUGAAGUGGGUAAAAAAAAGUAUUAUUCAAUUUUUUGUAGUUUAUUACUGCCUUCACUUGAAUAACCAAAGGCUGCCCCAUGGAAAUGUAACAGUACCGCAAACUGUUCAUACGUAAGUAAAUCAUAUGGGGGGGGGGGGGGGGGGGAGGUGUGACAUGUGUAAUGCGUUCCCCCAAAAUCUUGGAAAAAUCUAUCCUUCCCACCAACAAAAGGAAAUAAUUUAAAACUAAACAGCGGGUAAAGUGGUUCUAUCCCACCCCCACCCUCCAAAAUUAAAUUCUGCUUACGCUCUUCUCUUGUUUAUGUAAAUCUCGCCAAGUUUCUCACACCGGAUGUGUAACGAUGAAUCACAUUGUUUUUUAUUUGCACUAUUGAUUUAAUUGGAAGGUUCACCCGAAUGCUAAUUUGUGUAAGUGAAUUAUUUUGAGGUGAAACUUGCGAUAGCAGAGUCUGGUGGGGCUGUGUUUGUGUGCGUUGUGUAAAAGGUACGCUAGAUCUUCUCACAAAUAUUGCAGGUACUACUCUCGUGAUGUCAAGUCUUGCAGUUUGCAGGAUCACAUAAGUUCCCUCAAAGCCUGCUGGCUUGCUGACGUGAGCUAAACCUUUCACAAUGACUGCAUAUUGUACACACCAUUAUAGGAUCCAAGCAUUUUUUAUAAACUGCUUUUAAUAUUGCUAAAACUACGUAAGCCUUUUCAAAUAUUUUUAAACCAACUCAAAUAAUGCUACUAUAAAAAAAUGUAUUUUCAAUAAUAAGUAAACAAUUCUUACAUUUACUUCUAAACUGAGUUUGUUUCUACUUUAAACUUCUGUUUACUUAUUGCCCCAUAGAACAUUUUUAAUUUAUUGAUGAUUUAACUUUAACAAUAUUCUCUUUUUGUUUAUCAUUAAAAAAUAUAUAUAAAUUCUAGGCAAAAAGAUAUUAUCUCUUGAAAAAUAUAUUUUUUUUCAUGAUGUAUACAUAUUUGAACAUUUUAAGACUAAUAAUACACCAAGCGAAAACAUCUGUUUGGCAAAAUGCUAUGUCAAAUAGAUUUGAAAAGACACUUGCAAACCAGACUUUGUUGCUUGUGUUCUAUGAGUAUGUGAACUGUAUGCAAAAUAUCCACUGCAAACUUUCAUCUACACCUGAAACAGAACAGAAUUGUGCCAAUUACGUUCUUAGGCAGCUUUUAACUUGUGUUGAACGGAUUUACCUUGAGUUGCGUCACAGACAGUGCUGGUUGAUUUUUUUUUAACGAACAAUUGAAUUUACAGAUAUGAUUGUAGAAUCCAUUUUAAGGUGUGUUUUUUGUCCGUUUGUAAUAAAAAAAAGUUAAGUGGUUUAGGCACAGAAUGUGCGAGACUUGUACAGACUGUUACUUUUGAAUCUUUUUAUUGUAUAUGUAUAUAUAAAAAAACUGAUUGGAAUUAACUAUUUAACAACUGAAUGGACAUGAUGAAAUUUGUAUCUGAUUGAAGAGUUACAAGCACAAUGUUGAGAAGACUUUAAGUGCAGAAAAUGUCUUACUCUAUGCCCUGUCACAUAAACCAACCAGCUUCACCCAACGUUCUGUUCUCCUGGCAUGUUUACGUGUAAACUUUUGAUACAAGUUAUGUAAAUUAGCAUUGUGUACAUUCUGUGUUGUUUCUGUGUACAGAUUUCAAAGAACUAUAUUUUCUGUUGCUAUGAUGUAUGUUUGUUACUGUUGUGUAUUAUACUGUAACAUGUAUAAAAAAAAUUUUAAAAAUGGUUGCAAUGUUAAAUUUGAAAGGCUGGAUCUGUAGUUUUUGUAAAUUAUUAUUUAUUUAAGUUACCGAAUUGCUAAGUACAAUACAUCUGUUAUGUAUUUCAUUAAAGUUGUUUGUGACGUUAGGCAAAAGGAAAGUUUGUUUAGCUAUUAGAAUUUUGUAUAGAGUUUGGUCUCAUUAUCAUUGCUAUUGUUAACAAAAUGCUACCCAAGAUUGUUACCUAACCAUUAUUAGCUGAUUAAGUUGAAAAUCAAAUUGAAUUGUUGGUGGCAUGUUUGACAUAUGUAUAUAAAUGUUGAACUUCGUAAAUUUGUAGCUUUUGAAAAGAAAAAAAAAACUUUAUGCUAAAAAGAAAGUUCUUUUUGUAGAGAAAAAAUUCCCAUUUCAAUUUUCUCAGGUCUGUUUUGCAAGGAAGAAAUUAAUUUUUUAAUGUUCACCUGACCUUUUUACCAGUAUUCACUUGCUGAUGACUCCAACAUGAUAUUGUUUAUUUUUAAUUUUUUUAUGACAGUUAACAAUGAACAAAAUGUGAUUGCUGUUUGAUUUUGCUAUGUAACUGUAGCUGUGAUCCUGCGAUGUCAGUCGGGAACUUUUCUGAAGUUUGUGCGUCUGUGUCGGUGAGACGGCUGUGUAAUGUGUACGCGACCUUGACCACACAUUGCCCACUGCUGGAGUGCUCAAACCAUCCGAUUGCUGGAAAUGCUCGCAUCGAGCUAAUGAGUUUCUUUCACUGAUUCACAUAUCUGACAACAACAAAAAAAAUACAACGAAAAACUAUACACAAAUAAAAUAACUAAAAAAAAUGUUUACUUUUACUUAUGUUUAAACCCUGAUUUAUCAGGUACAAAAAAAAUUUGGAAAAUUUUGAUAAGCUUUUGUAAAUAUAAUUGCAGACAAAAAGUUAAGUGAACAUGUAAAUACUAGCCAACGUAACGUUGAUUCAAGCAGCCCUCCGGCAGAGCCUUUGUGAGCUUAAGGUGGCCAAUCGUGAAAAUCAGUAUUUGCAUGGGACGCGAGGUAAAUUUCAAUGGUGUACUUGUGCCCUAAGUUAAUGUUUUUUGCUUGACACUUGAUGUUGUCGUCGCUAUCUCGACCAUUUGGCAUGCAUUGUUGGUUUAUGAAACAAGGGCAGCACCCCAGACAAAAGACUGCUUCCCAUAUCUCUUGCCUUUCUUUGGUAUUGCUGGCUUUAAAAUAUUUGUAGUUUUAAAAAAAAGAGAAAGAAAAAAAAUAACACUAUUAGGUAAAAAGACAAAGAAAAAAAAUUUUUGGAGAUAAAAAAAACUAAAGACAAGUUGAUUAAACGUGGUGCUUGGGUAUGUCUGUAGUGUUUACAAAACUUUAGGUGCGUAUUAAAGUGUAACACCUGCUAAAUUCACCCUUUACAAACUCAUUAUGACUUUUGUCACUGUGUUUGAUGUUUCCAGGGAAAUUUAUCCUCCUUCAUUUGGCAUCACUUGGAUAGCUGACAUUUGAGAGCAAUGGUACAAGUAGUUGCUUAAAAAAAUAUAUAUAUAUUUGCGAGAUCAAAAUGUAAAAACCGAGUAUUGUAAUUUUUUUUUUUAAUGCAAGGAUAAAAAUCUUUUCUGUUACCAGUGAUGCCAACAUGAAAAGGAGAAUGGCAACCCUGUUUUUUCCCCUUUUCCCUUUCGCUUUGCUCUCUUGUAAGAGACACUCGUCUGCCUCUGGUAACUCUGACAAUAAAAAAUGAAUGAAUGAUUCAAAAUGAGAAUAUGAAUAAGAAAAAUAAAACAUGACAAAAACUAAA